Molecule: ribosomal RNA, 301 nt
Filed under: uncultured bacterium
Lineage: Bacteria
Description: partial 16S ribosomal RNA
Rfam family: Bacterial small subunit ribosomal RNA
Source: RNAcentral
CAGCCGCCACGGUAAUACGUAGGGUGCAAGCGUUAAUCGGAAUUACUGGGCGUAAAGCGUGCGCAGGCGGUUUUGUAAGUCUGUCGUGAAAUCCCCGGGCUCAACCUGGGAAUGGCGAUGGAGACUGCAAGGCUAGAAUCUGGCAGAGGGGGGUAGAAUUCCACGUGUAGCAGUGAAAUGCGUAGAUAUGUGGAGGAACACCGAUGGCGAAGGCAGCCCCCUGGGCUAAGAUUGACGCUCAUGCACGAAAGCGUGGGGAGCAAACAGGAUUAGAUACCCCGGUAGUCCCUGUCUCUUAUAC